ACUGCUCAGUAACACGUGGACAACCUACCCUUAGGUCGGGGAUAAACCCGGGAAACUGGGUAUAAUACCCGAUAGAUCUCGACUGCUGGAAUGCAUCGAGAUCGAAAGCUCCGGCGCCUAAGGAUGGGUCUGCGGCCUAUCAGGUAGUAGUGGGUGUAGCGUACCUACUAGCCUACGACGGGUACGGGUUGUGAGAGCAAGAGCCCGGAGAUGGAUUCUGAGACACGAAUCCAGGCCCUACGGGGUGCAGCAGGCGCGAAAACUUUACAAUGCUGGAAACAGCGAUAAGGGGACCUCGAGUGCCAGGUUACAAAUCUGGCUGUCGUGAUGCCUAAAAAGCAUUGCAUAGCAAGGGCCGGGCAAGACCGGUGCCAGCCGCCGCGGUAACACCGGCGGCUCGAGUGGUAACCGUUAUUAUUGGGUCUAAAGGGUCUGUAGCCGGCCGGAUAAGUCUCUUGGGAAAUCCAGCAGCUCAACUGUUGGGCUUUCAGGAGAUACUGUCUGGCUCGAGGCCGGGAGAGGUGAGAGGUACUUCAGGGGUAGGGGUGAAAUCUUGUAAUCCUUGAAGGACCACCAGUGGCGAAGGCGUCUCACCAGAACGGACCUGACGGCAAGGGACGAAAGCUAGGGGCACGAACCGGAUUAGAUACCCGGGUAGUCCUAGCCGUAAACGAUACUCGCUAGGUGUCGGCCACGGUGCGACCGUGGUCGGUGCCGUAGGGAAGCCGUGAAGCGAGCCACCUGGGAAGUACGGCCGCAAGGCUGAAACUUAAAGGAAUUGGCGGGGGAGCA
Molecule: ribosomal RNA, 792 nt
Filed under: uncultured archaeon
Lineage: Archaea
Description: bacterial SSU rRNA
Rfam family: Archaeal small subunit ribosomal RNA
Source: RNAcentral